GCACUCACUUCCGUAGCACACACACUGAAAUAGAAGUGAUGCAGAGAAGAUUACCGUAGGCGUCAUGGAAGGAUGACAUGCAAAUUUGUGAAGCGUUCUAUAUUUUU
Rhinolophus ferrumequinum (greater horseshoe bat) is the source of this 107-nucleotide small nuclear RNA. Lineage: Eukaryota; Metazoa; Chordata; Mammalia; Chiroptera; Rhinolophidae. The record is from Ensembl.